This 21-nucleotide non-coding RNA is filed under the name Caenorhabditis elegans. The record is from RNAcentral. Lineage: Eukaryota; Metazoa; Nematoda; Chromadorea; Rhabditida; Rhabditidae.
GGUUGUGGAGUAGUCCUCUGA